GCGUUAACGCUUGAGGGGAGUUGGAAUUAGUACGAGAGGACUUUUCUGAACUGACCUCUGGUCUACCGGCUUUGGCACCAGCUGAAGCGCCGGGUAGCUAUGUCGGGAAGGGAUAAGCGCUGAAAGCAUCUAAGCGCGAAGCCCACCCCAAGAUUAGAUCUCCCUGGGCACUCGAUGCCCCUAAAGGUCCGUCGAAGACUACGACGUUGAUAGGCUGGGUGUGGAAGUGCAGUAAUGCAUGAAGCUAACCAGUACUAAUUGACCGUGAGGCUUGGCCAU
RNAcentral lists this ribosomal RNA (279 nucleotides) under Gammaproteobacteria bacterium. RNAcentral's name for it is "partial 23S ribosomal RNA". It matches the Rfam family "Bacterial large subunit ribosomal RNA", at positions 2651 to 2925 of the family's 2925-position model. The record is from RNAcentral. Lineage: Bacteria; Pseudomonadati; Pseudomonadota; Gammaproteobacteria.